This 397-nucleotide ribosomal RNA is filed under the name uncultured bacterium. RNAcentral's name for it is "bacterial SSU rRNA". It matches the Rfam family "Bacterial small subunit ribosomal RNA", at positions 30 to 430 of the family's 1533-position model. The record is from RNAcentral.
AUUGAACGCUGGCGGCAUGCCUUACACAUGCAAGUCGAACGGCAGCACGGGAGCAAUCCUGGUGGCGAGUGGCGAACGGGUGAGUAAUAUAUCGGAACGUGCCCAGUCGUGGGGAUAACGUAGCGAAAGCUACGCUAAUACCGCAUACGAUCUAUGGAUGAAAGCGGGGGAUCGCAAGACCUCGCGCGAUUGGAGCGGCCGAUAUCAGAUUAGGUAGUUGGUGAGGUAAAGGCUCACCAAGCCGACGAUCUGUAGCUGGUCUGAGAGGACGACCAGCCACACUGGGACUGAGACACGGUCCAGACUCCUACGGAGGCAGCAGUGGGGAAUUUUGGACAAUGGGGCAACCCUGAUCCAGCAAUGCCGCGUGAGUGAAGAAGGCCUUCGGGUUGUAAGG